RNAcentral lists this transfer RNA (72 nucleotides) under Toxocara canis (dog roundworm). It matches the Rfam family "tRNA". From Rfam's summary of the family: Transfer RNA (tRNA) molecules are approximately 80 nucleotides in length. Their secondary structure includes four short double-helical elements and three loops (D, anti-codon, and T loops). Further hydrogen bonds mediate the characteristic L-shaped molecular structure. tRNAs have two regions of fundamental functional importance: the anti-codon, which is responsible for specific mRNA codon recognition, and the 3' end, to which the tRNAs corresponding amino acid is attached (by aminoacyl-tRNA synthetases). tRNAs cope with the degeneracy of the genetic code in two manners: having more than one tRNA (with a specific anti-codon) for a particular amino acid; and 'wobble' base-pairing, i.e. permitting non-standard base-pairing at the 3rd anti-codon position. Lineage: Eukaryota; Metazoa; Nematoda; Chromadorea; Rhabditida; Toxocaridae. The record is from Rfam by way of RNAcentral.
AGGGCAGUCGCUUACCGGUGAAGUUUUCGCCUCAUAUGCGGAAAGACCAGGGUUCGACUCUCGGCUGCUUUG